CUUUAGUGGCGAACGGGUGCGUAAUACGUGAGAAUCUGCCCUUAGGAGAAGAAUAACUGCUGGAAACGGCUGCUAAAUCUUCAUAUGUCGAGAGAUGAAAUAGCUUAGGCUGCCUAAGGAUGAGCUCACGCCUGAUUAGCUAGUUGGUGAGGUAAUGGCUCACCAAGGCCACGAUCAGUAGCUGGUUUGAGAGAACGAUCAGCCACACUGGGACUGAGACACGGCCCAGACUCCUCCGGGAGGCAGCAGUGAGGAAUUUUCCGCAAUGGGCGAAAGCCUGACGGAGCAAUACCGCGUGAGGGAUGAAGGAUUUUGGUCUGUAAACCUCUUUUCUCAAGAAAGAAGUUCUGACGGUACUUGAGGAAUAAGCAUCGGCUAACUCCGUGCCAGCAGCCGCGGUAAUACGGGGGAUGCAAGCGUUAUCCGGAAUCAUUGGGCGUAAAGCGCCUGUAGGUUGUUUAAUAAGUCUGUUGUUAAAGACUAGGGCUUAACCCUAGAAAAGCAAUGGAAACUACUAGACUAGAGUAUGGCAGGGGUAGAGGGAAUUUCUAGUGUAGCGGUGAAAUGCGUAGAUAUUA
RNAcentral lists this ribosomal RNA (578 nucleotides) under uncultured Chrysochromulina. RNAcentral describes it as "bacterial SSU rRNA". It matches the Rfam family "Bacterial small subunit ribosomal RNA", at positions 90 to 699 of the family's 1533-position model. Lineage: Eukaryota; Haptophyta; Prymnesiales; Chrysochromulinaceae. The record is from RNAcentral.